Molecule: long non-coding RNA, 488 nt
Filed under: Medicago truncatula (barrel medic)
Lineage: Eukaryota; Viridiplantae; Streptophyta; Magnoliopsida; Fabales; Fabaceae
Description: long non-coding RNA (MTRU_LNC008497)
Source: RNAcentral
ACGAAUUAGCGACGAAAUUUUCGUCGGAAAGCAACUUCCAGUAAAAAACAGUACUAUAGACAGAAAAGUGGAGCACGUGGCAGCUUGUGAAUGGCUGACUUUACCUAGGAAUAAUUUCGUAGGAAAGCGGCGGCCCCCACAUGCCGAAAAAGGGUGUGUGGAAGCAUGUGAUUGACCUAAUUUACCUAGGAAUAAUUUCGUAGGAAAGCGGCGGCCCCCACAUGCAGAAAAAGGGUGUGUGGAAGCAUGUGAUUGGCCUACAUUACCGAGGAAUAAUUUCGUAGGAAAGCUGCGGCCCCACAUGCACACAGCCGUUGGAUAAAGGGUGUGUGUAUGGUUGUGAUUGGUGGAAUUUACCUACGAAAAUUUCGUCGGAAAACACGGGACCCACAUGCUAACUAGCCGUUUGUUACCGUUGCAGCAUUUGUGUAUAUAAAUAUACAACACUCUAUUUUCUUCUUUACAAUCUUCAUUCUAUUCUCAUUCAA